ACUUUGGGCCAGGAAGAUUUC
RNAcentral lists this ribosomal RNA (21 nucleotides) under Symbiodinium sp. RNAcentral describes it as "partial 18S ribosomal RNA". The record is from RNAcentral. Lineage: Eukaryota; Dinophyceae; Suessiales; Symbiodiniaceae.